AAUCCAUGUUGUGGACACUUCGGCAAGAGAUCCUUGAAUCGCUCCUAUGUCACAAACAAGGAUUCAAGCUCCAUGUGAGCAAACGACAAUAUCUCAUUAUGUAGCUU
This is a small nucleolar RNA of Dioscorea cayenensis subsp. rotundata (Guinea yam), 107 nucleotides long. NCBI's taxonomy places the organism in Eukaryota, Viridiplantae, Streptophyta, Magnoliopsida, Dioscoreales, Dioscoreaceae. The record is from RefSeq and is a predicted model, not a curated record.